CCUGUCUGGAUGAAGUCCUCCUGUAUUGUAUUAAUAGCCCGGAAGUCUGAAAUUAGCAUUACUAUGUGAAACGUUUUGGAUGAUCACAACAAUAUGUUUUAUCCAGGUUGCUCUGUAUAGUAUGAUAUUUGAUAUUUUCAUGUGUUAUACUUUCCAGCAUUUUUCCUUUUUUUUCUGCAGGGUCUGUAAGCGUCACAAAAGUUCCCCACUUUCUGUGCACAAUGGCUCAAUAUUCACCAAUUCUCACACCCCUUUGGUGAAAUGGUUUGAGUUUAUGUACAGGUCUUGCAGUAGAAGCAUUUUGCCAUGAUCACUGAGGGUAUAGCAGGAAGACAUUGACAAGAAAAGUACUCAGAAUGACAAAAGUACUCAAAAAGGUGUCCAUUUCUGCCCUCAAGAGACUGAGGAUAAGAGGAAUGAGAAUUGGGGGUCAACAUCGAUUUGUUGUUAUCGACGAGAGCAAGUUUGCCCAAAAACAAAAGUACCAUCGUGGCCGAUGUGGCAACACUUGGUGUCGUGAACGUCAGUGGGUUCUGAGUUCUGAGACUCGUCAAGGACCGCUCAAGGCAAACACUUAUAAGCCAAAUUCAACGACAUAUCAGACCUAGAAAAUCAAUCUUUAAGGUUGAAUGGCAUGCGAGACAACUUUCCCAGUACGAAUAUCAUCAGUAUUCUAUCCGCCAUAAAAGACACUUUGUUGAUCCAGGGACUGGUGCUCAUACUCAGCAUACUGAGCGUGCGUGGCAGAAUUACAAGUUGGAAAUAUGGCGUCAUAGAGGAAAUCGUACUCCUGAGUCAUUGAAAACUCACCUUAAGAUGAUAGAGUGGCACCACUGGUUAGCUGUACGCCAUUAUGAUGGUGUCUUAGGUAGACUUAUCCAUGAUGUAAAAAAGCAUGUCAAGACAAUAUAAAUGUGUGGGAUGCUGUAAUUAAGUUUUUGCAGUGAUAUGGACCAAACGCUGCAUGGCAUAACCCACCAUUCUACUCUUUUCAUUUAUCAUUUAUUUUUUGGUUAUUUUUAUUAUUGGAUAAUUGAUUUUAUUUCUCUAACACCGUUCAUCUUAUUUUUAGAAAUUUGAAAUAGUCUAUUGUCUGACCUUCUGUUGGAGGAAACUUGAUAGCUUACUUUGAUAAUUAAUCUGCAAUGUCAUGUUUAUGACAGAUUUAUGACAGGUUAUGUUGUCUUGGUAAAGUCAAGUUGUCAUAACAAAGACAUCUCAAACAGUGUCAUCUUUGCAUUAAAAAUGUCACAGUUGAGUGAAUGACACUUAAUGACAGUUGUCAUAAACCCUCCUUCAUAUUCAUGGAAUGUGUCAUGUCAUUAUUAUGAAGGUGUCAUGUCAGACUUAUGCACACCCCUUCAAGUAAAGUGUUACCAAAUAUGGCACUGUGUGUGUGUAUUUAUUUUUUUUUUUUACAUAUUUAAUAUAUGUAACUUAUAUAUUCAUAUAAGAAAAGGUCUGUACAAUAUAAAUACUUAAUUAUGAGGAAAAUACUGUAUGUAUGUAUAUAUACAAAAAACUUUGGAGGGUUUAUGAUGCUAAUUAUGACCGUUGAAGCACGUCAUCACAGUCUUGUGAAAAGGGUCCGUAGGAAAUGGUUCUUUAUAAUGAUGGUGCUGAGACUAGUAAAUAACUUCUGCUACAGGUGCAUCGUACAAACAGAUGGCAGAAUAAAAACCAAAGCAAUCGGCUCAUUAAUAUAAUCCUCUAUGGCUUGACAGUGAAUAGACUGGAUGAACUUUACUCUUGGGAUGUGAACAGCUAGACGGGAUCCUAAUGAAAAGGAUGAAGCUGAGUAACCUUUACAUCACUGAAAUCUCUGCAAGCCUCUGGACUCUUGGAAAUUUACCUACAGUAGAGACUCAAUAAAUAUGUAUUUGCCUGCUAUGCAGAUGUUACUGUUGACCCUGCCAAACAGUCCCACGGUUUUGCGAGAGCACAAUUUAUUGUGAAAUCAAGCAGCAUGGUUUUUAGGCAGCUUAAAUUUUUGUCUUGUUUCCAAUUUUUUUUUCUUUCACAAAAAAGCAUUACCUGAGAGAGGAACAAACUAUAUUAGCUAAUCUAAAUCCAAACAAAUUAAUCAGUAUCUGUUCAACUUUCCUGCCAACACAAUCUCACAAUAGCACAUUUUACAAGGUGCUGAUUUUGCACAGAUAUAUACAAAAACGGAUAUAUACAAUAAAGGUCUAAGCAUGAAGGUCUAUAACUGUGACUGGGCCUUAAGCAGAUGUACCAAAAUGUAUGAAUGAGAGUAUGAAUUCAUAUGAAUUAGCCUCCAAUUUGCCAAAACAUAAAACAGGUAUAAAUUGCCAUGAGAUGUGUUUGUCCUGCUGCUGUAUGGCAGUGAAUUCUAUUGCAAAGUAAGCAGGCAUGAACCCAUUAUACAGUGCACCACAUUUAAUAUUUCCAAGGGAUCGCUCCAAUUCAUUAAUUCACAAUCUAAACUUGUCUAUUGUUUUUCUGUGCUGUGGCUGUUAUGAUGCUUUUAAACUACUAUAUAUAUAAUACUGAAUAUAAUGCAUAUUAGCACUCAUGUCUGAUUUAACCAGCACAGAUUAAGUUUAAAGGGAUAAUUCACCAAAAAAUGAAAAUAUGAUGUUUAUCUGCUUACCCCCAGGACAUCCAAGAUGUAGAUGACUUUGUUUCUUCAGUAGAACACAAACAGAGAUGUUUAACUCAAACCGUUGCAGUCUGUCAGUCAUAUAAUGGAAGUGAAUGGGAAUCAUGGCUUUGAGAGCCAAAAAAUCAAACAAACCCUGCGGUUUAUGACGAAGACGCAUCAUGCAUCAUUGAAUUGAAUAUAAAUGCUUCAUAGGCGUAAUAGUUUUUAUACAGUACAAACUAUUUUCGAUCCCCUACACCAACCCUUACAUUUAAAAAAUAAAUAAAUAAAUAAAUAAAAAUAAAAAAACUGAUGAAAAAAAAUUUGGUUUGCGGGGACACAGGAAGUGUCCUCAUAAACCAUAUUCACACUGUAAUACCUAUGUUAUUAUCCACAUUACCAUAAACCAAGUAUACCUGCACACACACACACACACACACAUACACAAAAUGCUGUAAAUGCUAUUGCAAUUUUUUAUUUUUCAUUUUUUUGUGAAAAACAGCAGCGUUGUAAGUAAAGGACAUAAUAAUAAUAAUAAUAAUAAUAAUAAUAAUAAUAAUAAUUAAAGCUGCAAGCAGCGAUUACCGGGGUUCAAGCACAUUAAGGCCUCUGAGGUGGUCUCGGCCAACCUGGAUGUAUGGAUGACAGUUAAACACAUCCAAAAAUGGAGAACAGGCUAACAGACAGACACACACACUGAAAGUAAAUUAUUAGACUAAUAUAUUAAUACUUUAUAAUACACAUAUAUACAAAGACAAAGACACACAUACAUGCACACACAUUUUGUUGCAGAUAUAGGUAUUUGAAAUAAGUGAUAGGUGACAAUAAACUUAUUGCAAGUCUUCUCUUUUUAAGAGUUUAGAUGUCAUUUUCAGGUUAAACUGUAAUCAUAAUGUGGCCAAAUUGUAAAAACUGAUAUAUCUGUAUUAACAAAAUGGAAAACGUUGACUCAAUGAGAUUUAAAAUGUUAUAACAGUUAAUCUAUUAAUGUUUUGGCAUGAAUUCAUGAAACCUUUGAACAGUACUGUUUAACUUAGCUGAAUGAGACCAUUAGUGGUCUUCCGCUGCCAUCUAGUGGUUAUAAAAUGCAUUUACUCAAACAACACUGUGUUUUUAAACAUAACUGUUAUAGUGUUAUUUUUUUUGCCCAAUCUUUCUUAAAUUUUGCAUGCUUGUUUAGAAUGAAAUUAUGCAUUAUUUUUACACAGUUUUGAUAAUUUGUGGGCUUUCUGUUUGUAUUAAUAGGCCUUUGUGUACACUAUGAAAAGAACAUAUUAAAAAAUUACUGGUUUAUAGUUGUCCAAAUGCAAUUGUUCAACAUGUUUUUGAUAAUUAUUGACCUUCAGAGUCUAGAGAAUUGUACUUCAGUGGUUUUUAUUGAUUUUCAGCUUAAAGCCUUGGAUUAGUUUGCCAAAGUAACUUUUUAAAAUAAUCUUGAAUAUUUAAUUAACAGCUUCAUUGACAACAUUGGUCCCAGAGGCAAAGUUGUUCAGAAUGAGGACAUCUAUCAUAUGAUAUGAAGAUCUAGUGUUUGUGUGAAUAUAUGAGCAUUUUCAACCAAUUUGAGGCCAUUUACCAUAUAAAUCUUUUGUUUUUGAGGCCUUUUCUACUGUGAUAGCGCCACCUAUGGUUUGAUUUCCAUGAAACUUUGCAUGCUUGUUCAGAGUCAUCUGACAUAUGUUUUCACCAAGUUUCGUAAAGUUUUGAGUUUUCAUUUAGG
Long non-coding RNA from Cyprinus carpio carpio, 4325 nucleotides. Lineage: Eukaryota; Metazoa; Chordata; Actinopteri; Cypriniformes; Cyprinidae. The record is from Ensembl.